GUUCUACUGGUGUUACUGGUUCUGCUGCUGAGACGAUGUGUUCACAGGAAACCUGAAGAAUAUCAUAAAGAUGUUUUAGAAGAUGAAAUCAUCACUCAUGUCAUGUACAACGCCAUCAAGAUAUUAAAUCAGCACCAGCAGCCAAUCAGACAGCAGAGAGAGACGGAUUCAGUCGUAGUGUACUCAGGAGGGAGAACUGAAGAUGUCAGUUAUGGACAGACAACCAUCAGAACAAAGAGUCCCAGACUUUAAACCAGAGCCAGAC
Molecule: long non-coding RNA, 265 nt
Organism: Oreochromis aureus
Lineage: Eukaryota; Metazoa; Chordata; Actinopteri; Cichliformes; Cichlidae
Exons: 4
Source: RefSeq, a predicted model, not a curated record